Molecule: ribosomal RNA, 628 nt
Filed under: uncultured Lachnospiraceae bacterium
Lineage: Bacteria; Bacillati; Bacillota; Clostridia; Lachnospirales; Lachnospiraceae
Description: bacterial SSU rRNA
Rfam family: Bacterial small subunit ribosomal RNA
Source: RNAcentral
GGAUUUCUUCGGAAUGAAGUUUUUGCGACUGAGUGGCGGACGGGUGAGUAACGCGUGGGUAACCUGCCUCAUACAGGGGGAUAACAGUUAGAAAUGACUGCUAAUACCGCAUAAGCGCACAGUGCUGCAUGGCACAGUGUGAAAAACUCCGGUGGUAUGAGAUGGACCCGCGUCUGAUUAGCUAGUUGGUGGGGUAACGGCCUACCAAGGCGACGAUCAGUAGCCGGCCUGAGAGGGUGAACGGCCACAUUGGGACUGAGACACGGCCCAAACUCCUACGGGAGGCAGCAGUGGGGAAUAUUGCACAAUGGGGGAAACCCUGAUGCAGCGACGCCGCGUGAGCGAAGAAGUAUUUCGGUAUGUAAAGCUCUAUCAGCAGGGAAGAAAAUGACGGUACCUGACUAAGAAGCACCGGCUAAAUACGUGCCAGCAGCCGCGGUAAUACGUAUGGUGCAAGCGUUAUCCGGAUUUACUGGGUGUAAAGGGAGCGUAGACGGUUGUGUAAGUCUGAUGUGAAAGCCCGGGGCUCAACCCCGGGACUGCAUUGGAAACUAUGUAACUAGAGUGUCGGAGAGGUAAGCGGAAUUCCUAGUGUAGCGGUGAAAUGCGUAGAUAUUAGGAGGAACAC